GACCUGGGGUCCCUGCUUCUCCAGGUGCUCCCGGAUUUUGCUCUCUAGCCUCCGGUUCUCGGUCUCCAGGCUCCUCACUCUGUCCAGAUGUGGGCCACCAGCCUUAAGCCAGAGGGAGCUUUGUAAGACAGGAACAUAUAAAAUGAUAAAAGCUUCUCUACGUACAGUUUUCCUGACUCUGAUUCUGCGUGGGACAACCAGUGAAAAUUGCAGGUGAAGAGAAGAAAUGCGUAUUUAUUCCUCCACUGGGAAAAAAAAUACCAUCCAAAGCUACAUGACUUGAGAGACAAGGUCUCACUAUGUUGCCCAGGCUGGCCUCGAACUCCCGGGCUUCAGCAGUCCUCCCGCCUCACCCUCCGAUGUAGCUAGGACUACAGGACCGCGACCCGGCGCUGCCUAAGAACUGUUUUUAAACGUGAAAGCCACGGCUAUCAUUUGCUUUUUGCUCUGCUCUUCAUCUUCUGGAUAAACCUCGUAACACACUGCUUGUUUUGGGUGGUAGUCUGCUGCCUACGCCCCGUCAGACAAGUGGCCUGAGUCCCCCGCAACCCCUGCAGGUCCGGCCGCCGGCGCCAAGCCUCAAGGCAUCCAAGCCAGGAACGAUCGCGGUCAGCUCUGCCACGGAACAUGUGCAAGACCCGGCAGCAGGUUCCGGGGGAGGCGAAUUGAUUUCACAACGGUCGAGAAGGAGGACCCCGCCCACUUCGUCAUUUCUCGGAAGCCCAGGGACUCGCCGGAAGAGCGGCUCAAAAGCCGGAAAACUGGCAAAUCCGAGUCUCCCGGCGCAUGCGCGGCGCAAUCGGCUUCGCGUGGUUGCAGUAGAGAGGAUCCCUCCGCCAGCCACUGCAUCCGGCGGCCGGAUCUAACUUACCCGCUAGCGUUUUACCCUUGCGCGGCCGUGGCGUAGGGCGGUCUUUUCCCUUGGUCCUCCGCGGCGCCGCCUCUUGUGACGUAAGCCGCAGAAUCCUCUGUCUUAGUUCGGCUCUAUUGCCGCGAGCUUGACUCUUCCUGGGUCUGAGGAAAAGUAAAAGUAAUUUUGUCAUUUCCUGAAACUUCAAGUUAAACCUUUAAGCUGUUCAUUUCCUAAAAGGGUGAAAACGCGGGCACCCCUCGAGCUAGUUCAUCGCCUUUUAACCUAAAAAAAGUAUACUCAUGAGCAAGAAAGAAAACAAACAACAAACAAAAUGAAGUAGGAAACUCAAUGUUAACAGCUUAACACAGAAAGCCACUACAACAAUGAACAAAAAUUGCAAGUUAAUGAUAAAGUAAUGUAGAAACAAAAUUACAGACUACUAAAAACAUGGGAUUGCCAGUUGUUCAGAAAUUCCACAGAUGGAUCGUGAGUGGUUGUUGGAUCUUUCCAGAUCACCACACCACAUCACCCAGCCACUCUGCCCAAUGGGAGGGCAGACAGUGUUCCAGUGUAGGAGGAAGGGGUGUAAGGUGCGGGCAGUUUGUGAGGAGGGCACCAACGAGAGCUACUGUGAGAAAGUCUGCAUGGUCAAAAAGUGGAUUACCAAGAACAAAGCAUCAUAAUGUUGUCCAGUGGACCCCAGGGUCAUCUGGAUGAAAUGAAUACUUUUAGGGCAAAAUGGCUGAUACUGCUUCCUUGAUAACCACAUAUAGAAAACUGACAACUGUUUAGAACAAAGCCAAAGAUGAAACCAAAUAUAAAACCACUGAUGAAAACUAAGUGAAAAAUAUAAGCAAAAUAGAAGAAAAAUAAGGUCGUUAUUUCAAGAAAACGAAAGACAGUCAAUGCUGUUCUUUGUAUUCACAUACAAUUUGGUUCACACCAAAAUGUGAGUUGUUCUCUAUGAGAUGUUAUUAAAUGUUCCUAAGAAGACUCGCUUUAGAAAAAAACAGUAUUCCUAAGGCAUGUCCAAUCUGUCUCUUUUCUUAAUUGCUAUAGUUCUACUUUAUUAUUAUAAUGUAUUCAGCAUUAAAAUUCAUUAUUUCCCAAUAAGCUUGACUUUAUCUUAUAAUGAAAUACAACUGUCUUCUUGGUGAUUUUUAUAGGAGAUAUUAUGGAAAUAUUUUAUUAACAGAAGUAAAUAAAGUGUCAUAUCAUUUGGCUUUUCAGCCGUGUUAUAACAUUUGCAUUUUGUUUUUUCUGCCUUUACCCUCCCUGCUUCUAGCUGCAUAAAAUAAUGCAUUUUAAAAAUAAAAAUACAUUAUUUUUCAACAUAUGUGUGACAAUAAAAAGAUCACUGGGUCAGGGGUCAGACGAUCUGAGUUCUGCCCUUUCAUUUUCUUAUCUGUAAAAAUGAUUCCUAAGAUUCCUUCUAUUACUAACAUUUUAUAAUCUACAUUCAAAUUUUAUGUGAAAGUUUAGUGCAUCCGAGAUAACUAUUUUCAAAUAAGAAUCUCUUUUGAUGCUAACAUCUAUGCAUCAAAUUCUUCAUUCUCAAGUUGUAAGUUGCUCUUUACAUAAUUUCACCUAUGUACAUAUAUUCUAUAGAAAAAAGAGACAUUCCAGUAUCUUAACAAUGUCAAAAAGGAUAUACUGACACUAACAUUAACUGGAGAUUGGAAGACUAGACAAAUCAAGGCUAGAACUACAUAAGGGAAGCUAUUCUCCCAAAUACGCUGUUUUUGCUGUUGUUUAACCAAAGAUAUCUUCCCUUUCAUUCUUCUUUUUUAAAGCUAAGGAUAUUUAAGACAUUAAUAUGUUUGGCUAACUGAUUAAUA
RNAcentral lists this long non-coding RNA (2691 nucleotides) under Homo sapiens (human). Its description in RNAcentral is "HSALNT0315647". Lineage: Eukaryota; Metazoa; Chordata; Mammalia; Primates; Hominidae. The record is from RNAcentral.